Molecule: long non-coding RNA, 3126 nt
Filed under: Sus scrofa (pig)
Lineage: Eukaryota; Metazoa; Chordata; Mammalia; Artiodactyla; Suidae
Description: lncRNA (ENSSSCG00050012531.1)
Source: RNAcentral
CCUGAGUUCAUCCAGAGCCUGAAGAAGCCAUUGGUUCUAUGCCCGAAUGCCUGUAUAUAUGAUGGGACAGUGAAUCUGGGUGCUUUCUGUGCUCCAUGUGGAGAAGGUGAAGCAGUCACUCUUGUCAUCUCUCUAAAGAACUGAGUUGGAGCGCGUCUUUGGAUAGGAGCCGUGCUGCUGCUGACUGGGGAAGAGGUGUGGUCUAAUGGUGACUGAGCCUGCCAGAAUUUUGAAACAGACAGGUGUCCAGAUCAUCUUGGCUCAUCUGGAUUUUGGAUGCUUUGUCACUGAGAAGAUUAGGAAGAUGAGGCUCAGAAAAAUGAAGUGACAUACCUCUGAGUGAGGCAAAGCUGAGUCUGGUGACUCCAAACCGCAGUGAGCUGCUGCAUCCCUGGUGAUGAGACGGGCUUCCUGCUUUCAUACAAAGCUCUCGAGUCUUCUCCAAAGAGUACACCCAAGACCUUGCCCGGUAAAACUGGAUGACUUUCCUCAGGCAUAGGAAAGGUAACAUUCCAGGAAUGGAGGUUGAAGUCAAGAGAUUUAGGGGCACCAAGGGCAAACUUUCUACUUCACAGAUUUUCAAAGGACUGGCAUUCUGAGCAGCAUCAAGUAUGUUAGUAGCUGAGCCCAUUCGUGGUACUUCAUAAACACUCGAAUUCUUGAGACCCUCAUGUUCCACUCUUCUACAGUAUAUAGUUGGUUAAAAGUCCCCAUUUUUCUGGUAAUAGCAUUCUUGGAAAUUGUGCUUUGAGAUCAGUCCUUCUGGGAAAGGCAUAACCUACUGAAGAGGUACUGAGAAGAGUUGAAACCAUAAAUGUCGAGCUUACCCAGGAGAGUAAGUAUAAACCGCUUGCAUCUUUCAGGCUGAAUUAUAGCUUAUCAAGCACACAUUAAAACUUUAAGCCUUUUUUUCCUUAAGUAAGAAUAAAUCUAAGUUGACUAUUCCAGCAUAUGUAUUUGUUUUCCCUACACUGUCUAUAAACCAUGUCCAAGGUGAGUAUUUAUAAGCCUGAGCGAAAACUAGACAAACAAUUCUGAGAAUAAGUGACAACUAUAACAGUUCGUGAUAAGACAGUCACAACAAAGGAAAUGCUAUGCAUUAAGUGAUUUUUCUUGCAAAUCCUUUAUACAUAUGUCAGGCUGUGUGCUGGCAGAGUGAAAGAGAAUAAAUCAAAGGGAAUACACGUGUAAGAAAGGGUUUUUAGGCAAACGCUGUCUUGCAUGCAUAAAUCAAAUAAAUAGUGAUUUAAAAAAAAACCCAAAGGAACAGGAUAGUUUCUAUGGAAUUUUACACAAUUAAGUUAUUUAGUAGUUGCACAACAAUUUGUAUUUAUGGAGCACUUUACAAUUAUUUGUUCAUUAAAUCUUAUGACAUUUCUGGCAAGCAGGUCUAUACCAUCAGUUUAAUUUUAUAGUCAAGGUAGAUGAAGCAAGGAAUUGUAAAGGAGCUUUCUGAAGGUUGCACAGCUAGGUUUGAGCAGGACUUACUUUAGAACUCUUGCUUCCACAAUCUUGAGUUGCAGUCCUGGGUGGAUGUUCAGUUGCCUCUUAGCUCCCUUCUAGAGGAGGGAUGAGUCAUGAGGCAUACCUGGACAUCCAGAGAAGGGUGUUUGUUAAAGGCAGUAGCUCCUGGCAGUUAAUCUAGAAGCACCAGUGUUUGGUAUUGGCAUUAGCAUUGCAGCUGGAAUAUGGACCCAUUGGCAUGUUGACACAUGUGUAUAUGAUACAAACACUCAUCUGCAAUAGAGCCUCAUUUGAGAUGUUCAUAUUGGUAGUCUAAAGCUGUAAUUAGCCCAGGGCAUGAUACCUGGCAGGGGGGUGUGCUUUAAAAAUAAACUAAUGCCCCAGGAUGAAUUGAAUCUAUGAGACUAGGGCUUGGACAGGGAUAUUUUCAAAGAGUGACCAGGUUUUUCUGACUUGUGGUCAGAGUUGAGAACCACUGGUAUAAAAAUCCUUCCAUGUCUGUAGCAGUUUGGCAGUUUGUUCACUGCAAAAAGACAGAUGACGGAGCGACUAGUGAGGGCUCAAACUCAGCUCACACACAGUGUGCCCUAAUUUUGAGGUGGCUUUUGUUCUCAGAAAAAGUGUCACCUAUUGUCUAAUUCCCACCAAGGAAGCCCCAAGUCAUUCCCUUACUCUUGUAUAUGCAUUAUUGUAUAUCCUACGUAUUUCAUUUUCAGCUUAUUUUCACUCCUGCAUGCUUAGAACUUGAUAUACAAGAGGAUACAGCAACAAAACCAUCACAGUCUUGUCCCUAUAGAGUCCACAGUCUGUUGAGAAGAAAAGCGACAGAACAGGGAGCUCCACAACAUGGGAAGUGCUCCAGUAGGCAUGAGUGCAAGAAGCUGGGGAGGACAUUGGAUGGGCACUCCACCCAGACCUGGGGCACCAAGGGACCUUGUAAUGGAGGUGGUAUAAAAGGGAAGGAGUAGCAUUCAUAGCUGAAUGGCAGCAUUUGAAAAAACCUGGAAUUGAGAGACACUGAGGAUUACUGGGGAACUGGCAGUGGUUCAGCCCUUCCUGAUGGAGGGUGGAGGGAAUAAAAGCUGGAGGGGGAGCUGGGAGUGCAGCAAGUUGUCCCAGUCUUCCAACAGCUGGGAUGGCCACUUGCAAGCCUAAUUACUGUACUGGGCUCCUCAGUCUUAUCUUUCUCUUUCCAUCUUUCCUCUCUCCCUAGGUCCCACCUUCUUUUCAGAUACAGUCCUGAAAAGAAGAGCAGAAAGCACCAAUUCCAAGUGUACUCUACUUCCUGUAAUCUCCAGCUCUAGGUACUGAAAAGAAACAAAAAGCUUGGUAGCAGGCAAAGGAACAAACACUUGUAGGGAUGCAGAUGUCCCUGCCUCACUUGGUGCCACCUGGAAAAACCUCUAAUUGGCUCAAAUCCCUCCUUUCUUACCACUUUUAAUUGAUAUGCCUGGUCCUGAACUCACAUUCAACAUUCCCAUCCUAAUUCCUGGACUGGUGGGGGUGGCAUGGAGGUGGAAAAUGGGGUGGUAUGAAUGAAACAUGCUUGGGCAUGAACUCAUGAAAUUACUGAAGCUGGUGGUGAGUACAUGAGCAUUGACUAUACUAGCUCCUCUAUUUCUGAUUACGUUUGAAAUUUUCUAUUAUAAAACAAAGAAAAAC